AACUCUCAAAUGAGAAACUCAAGUUUUAUAUAUUUCAAAUUGUGGUAAUACAUGAAGGAAGUGGCCUUAUUUAUAGCAAUCCUAGAGGCCAUAUGGUAGCUGAAAUAGUGCUGAUAAUUAAUACAUCAAUGGAAACACAAUCUAGUAAAUGUCAAACAUGGUGGCUUGUUGGCCUUAUUGUCAAUAGUAGGGUGGUGGAAUUGGAAAGCUAGCAUAUAGGGUGGUGGCUGCAAAGUCUAUGCCAUAUUAAAGUCUUACUCUGUAUCA
Molecule: long non-coding RNA, 267 nt
Filed under: Medicago truncatula (barrel medic)
Lineage: Eukaryota; Viridiplantae; Streptophyta; Magnoliopsida; Fabales; Fabaceae
Description: long non-coding RNA (MTRU_LNC007567)
Source: RNAcentral